ACUCAUACUUGGCAGAGGAGAUACCACAGUUGUUAAAGUGGUUUUCCUGGGGUAAGGCUCAUCUAUUGCAUUCUGGAUGUGCUGACCCCUGUGAUUUUUCCCAAAUGUGGAGAAAUCAACUGCCUAAGUGGGGGACUAUGUUUGUGGUUUCUCCUG
RNAcentral lists this small nuclear RNA (156 nucleotides) under Pogona vitticeps (central bearded dragon). RNAcentral describes it as "U1 spliceosomal RNA (ENSPVIG00000013158.1)". It matches the Rfam family "U1 spliceosomal RNA". From Rfam's summary of the family: U1 is a small nuclear RNA (snRNA) component of the spliceosome (involved in pre-mRNA splicing). Its 5' end forms complementary base pairs with the 5' splice junction, thus defining the 5' donor site of an intron. There are significant differences in sequence and secondary structure between metazoan and yeast U1 snRNAs, the latter being much longer (568 nucleotides as compared to 164 nucleotides in human). The record is from Rfam by way of RNAcentral. Lineage: Eukaryota; Metazoa; Chordata; Lepidosauria; Squamata; Agamidae.